AUUGAACGCUGGCGGCAUGCUUUACACAUGCAAGUCGAACGGCAGCGCGGGCUUCGGCCUGGCGGCGAGUGGCGAACGGGUGAGUAAUGCAUCGGAACGUGCCCAGUAGUGGGGGAUAGCCCGGCGAAAGCCGGAUUAAUACCGCAUACGACCUGAGGGUGAAAGCGGGGGACCGAAAGGCCUCGCGCUAUUGGAGCGGCCGAUGUCGGAUUAGCUAGUUGGUGGGGUAAAGGCUUACCAAGGCGACGAUCCGUAGCUGGUCUGAGAGGAGGACCAGCCACACUGGGGGUGAGACACGGCCCAGACUCCUACGGGAGGCAGCAGUGGGGAAUUUUGGACAAUGGGGGCAACCCUGAUCCAGCCAUGCCGCGUGCGGGAAGAAGGCCUUCGGGUUGUAAACCGCUUUUGUUCGGGAAGAAAUCCUCUGGGCUAAUACCCCGGGGGGAUGACGGUACCGGAAGAAUAAGCACCGGCUAACUACGU
Molecule: ribosomal RNA, 483 nt
Filed under: uncultured bacterium
Lineage: Bacteria
Description: partial 16S ribosomal RNA
Rfam family: Bacterial small subunit ribosomal RNA
Source: RNAcentral